GAUGAACGCUGGCGGCGUGCCUAAUACAUGCAAGUCGAGCGAACGGACGAGAAGCUUGCUUCUCUGAUGUUAGCGGCGGACGGGUGAGUAACACGUGGAUAACCUACCUAUAAGACUGGGAUAACUUCGGGAAACCGGAGCUAAUACCGGAUAAUAUUUUGAACCGCAUGGUUCAAAAGUGAAAGACGGUCUUGCUGUCACUUAUAGAUGGAUCCGCGCUGCAUUAGCUAGUUGGUAAGGUAACGGCUUCCCAAGGCAACGAUGCAAAGCCGACCUGAGAGGGUGAUCGGCCACACUGGAACUGAGCCACGGUCCAGACUCCUACGGGAGGCGGCAGUAGGGAAUCUUCCGCAAUGGGCGAAAUCCUGACGGAGCAACGCCGCGUGAGUGAUGAAGGUCUUCGGAUCGUAAAACUCUGUUAUUAGGGAAGACCAUAUGUGUAAGUAACUGUGCACAUCUUGACGGUACCUAAUCAGAAAGCCACGGCUAACUACGUG
Molecule: ribosomal RNA, 497 nt
Filed under: uncultured bacterium
Lineage: Bacteria
Description: partial 16S ribosomal RNA
Rfam family: Bacterial small subunit ribosomal RNA
Source: RNAcentral